This 562-nucleotide long non-coding RNA is filed under the name Homo sapiens (human). RNAcentral's name for it is "non-protein coding lnc-SIPA1L3-6:14". Lineage: Eukaryota; Metazoa; Chordata; Mammalia; Primates; Hominidae. The record is from RNAcentral.
GUCCUUUGGCUCCGCGCUGCGCGUGACCUGCAGUCACCUGAGCAAGAGGGCGGCGUGGGUCGCUGCGGGAGCCCCUACAGCCCCAGCCCGCAGCCCACGUGGCACCCUACAGGGCUGUGAGAGUGGGGCUGCUGGAGGCGUUCAGAGCGCGGAGGCCCCAGGCGCGGGCCGGGCUCUCUCCCGCCUCCUCAGGCCCGGGGGUGCUGGAGCUGCCGAGGUGGGGGCUCAUCUUUGGGAGACAGCUCUGGCUUUCUGGAUCUGUGCUUCUCUGGUAGAGGAACCCUGAGGACUGAUCUACUCUUGCAGUUCUAAAACCAUGGCCCAUGCCUCGCUAUUCCCUGGGACACAACAAUAUUGAACGUAGGCUAGUUAAUAGCCCUACAAUCUCCUCUAAGUGUUCGAGUGAAAGGAAGAGUCACAUGUGUCUCACUUUAAACCAAAAGCUAGAAAUGAUUAAACUUAGUGAGGAAAGCAUGUUGAAAGUCCAGACAGGCUGGAAGCGAGGUCUCCUGUGCCAAACAGCAGGCCAAGUUGCACAUGCAAAGGAAAUGUUCUCGAAGCA